Molecule: long non-coding RNA, 1297 nt
Filed under: Marmota monax (woodchuck)
Lineage: Eukaryota; Metazoa; Chordata; Mammalia; Rodentia; Sciuridae
Source: RNAcentral
CAGAGGUUUCAGUUCACAGACAGCCAACUCUGGUCCAGAGGUGAAGAAGAACAUCAUGGUGGAAGGGUAUGGACAUUGCACCAAAGUGGGUAGGGAUGUGUGUGUGUGUGGGGGGGGGAGAGAGAGAGAGAGAGAGAGAGAGAGAGAGACUGAACUUAGCUCACAAAAUAUAUACUCCAAAGGCAUGCACCCAAUGACCCACCUCCUCCAGCCACACCCUACCUCUGCCUACAAUUACCACCCGGUUAAUGCCAAUCAGAGAAUUAAUGUGUUGAUUAGGUUAAGGCUCUUAUAACCCAGUCACUUCAACUCUAAACUUUCUUGCAUUGUCUCACACAUGAGAUUUUUGUGGGACACCUAGUAUCUAAACCCUAACAGUUGGUGUUGCCUGAACUACGGAACAGCAGGUACAUAGGAAGAACACUUCAUCCAUUUCCAUGUUCAUUGCUAAGUCCAUGUUUGCCCCACAUAAAAAGGAUUCCUGGCAGGUAGUGUUACUGUGAGUAGGAGAUAGGGAGCCCCGCGGGAGCAUGUGCUGUACUAAUGGAGGCACCCACAAUGCAUGUAUUUCUCUUUCUGUUCAUUCAUCAAAUAUACAUCCACUAAACAAUGUUCCAAAAUAUAUGCCAGAUGUGUUGAGCAUAAAAUUUAAUUGAUAUAGAUCCCUGCCUUCAAGAAAUGCACAUUUUUAUAGGUUAGAGAAAUGCAAAAACAAAUAAUUAAACCACAGUGGAGAGAAUAGUGACAAACUGGGAAGGCUAGUUCAGCCAAGAGUUGGUCUUUAAGGAAGAGUGGCCCAUGACCUCAUGUGAAGAAAGUGGACAGAAAGCAAUGAACAACAUACCAGAGCACAAAAGAUCCUGUGCUCCUUGUGGAUGGGGAAUAAAAUUACAAGGGUAUGCCCAUGGGGGUGGGAAAGUAACAAGCAAAGAGGGUAGAAAUGUAGGUAGGGGACAAGUUACAAAAGGCCUUGUAUGCUGAAUCUAGUUGGGAUGGAUUUUAGAAACAAUAGGAGUCAUGGAAAAUUUUAAAAAUAUUAGGUGGUAACCUAAGACAUUCUUGAAUCUGAAAAUUACAAUAACCCAACCAAGGAAAAUGGAAAUAAUAAGUUAUAUCUGGGGUUGGCAAACUUUUUUUUUUUAUAAAAGAGACAAAGAAAAAAUUCUAGGCUUUGGGGGCCAUUUUGUCUGUGUCAUAAUUAAUCAUCUCUGUCAUUGUAGCAUGAAGGUAGCCAGAGACAAUACCUGAGAAAAAUAAACAUGGUUGUUCCAAUAAAACUUUAUUUACAAAAGCAGAC